RNAcentral lists this transfer RNA (26 nucleotides) under Ruditapes philippinarum (Manila clam). RNAcentral describes it as "partial tRNA-Val". Lineage: Eukaryota; Metazoa; Mollusca; Bivalvia; Venerida; Veneridae. The record is from RNAcentral.
CAGGAAAUAGCAUAUAUAGAAGUGUG